AACGCGAAGAACCUUACCUGGGCUCGAACGGCUUCCCAACGGCGUUAGAAAUAGCGCUACCCCGCAAGGGGGUGGAGUCGAGGUGCUGCAUGGCUGUCGUCAGCUCGUGUCGUGAGAUGUUGGGUUAAGUCCCGCAACGAGCGCAACCCUUGUCCUGUGUUGCCAUGCCGCAAGGCGGCACUCGCAGGAGACCGCCAGCGAUAAGCUGGAGGAAGGUGGGGAUGACGUCAAGUCCUCAUGGCCUUUAUGUCCAGGGCUACACACGUGCUACAAUGGCCGGUACAAAGCGUCGCUAACCCGCGAGGGGGAGCCAAUCGCAAAAAACCGGUCUCAGUUCGGAUUGCAGGCUGCAACUCGCCUGCAUGAAGCUGGAAUCGCUAGUAAUGGCAGAUCAGCACGCUGCCGUGAAUACGUUCCCGGGCCUUGUA
RNAcentral lists this ribosomal RNA (428 nucleotides) under uncultured Acidobacterium sp. Its description in RNAcentral is "bacterial SSU rRNA". It matches the Rfam family "Bacterial small subunit ribosomal RNA", at positions 958 to 1385 of the family's 1533-position model. Lineage: Bacteria; Pseudomonadati; Acidobacteriota; Terriglobia; Terriglobales; Acidobacteriaceae. The record is from RNAcentral.